CCGCGCGUACAAUUUGGUUGCGUUUUCCCAUUGCGUUUAAGGCGAAACAUGACGCGCGCCGCGGCGAGCGUGGCGCUUCUGGAGGCUCCAGCGCGGCCCCUCCGACGCCAUAUUGACGGGUCGGUGAAACCCCCGAACGAAGUAAGCUGAAAUGAUAAAAUUGAUAUUAUGUUGAGUUGUGCAAAUCAUGUUAUUGUUUAGGUUGGUCGUUAUGUUGAGUGUCUCAGUUGUUUAUCUCAUUCUCUCAUAGAUAUUACUGUGAUAUUCAUUGAUUUGGUUUUGCAGUCGCGCGCCAUAACCGUCUCUUAAUCAUUAUGUGACUGUUAUUUAUUCUUCCUUUCAGUUUUCACGUACCGUACCGUUUUGUACCACGUGAUGCCAGCGGUUAUGAGAGCAGCGAUGUAUUAUCCUAUGUACUAUACCGGCAAUAGAAAACUAGAUUGAAUGAUGGUCUUUUGUCGGCCGGUUCAGUGAAAAUUCGUUCAGUUUAAUUCAUUUUACUUUCCCGUUUUUGAUAGUCUAAUCCAUAGAUGAUUUCCCAUGAAGUAGCUUGUGAUAUCUCAUUGUAGUGAAUUUUGAUUUGUGUUGAUUGGUCAAGAGAUUGACUGAUCUUCACAUUUUCUUUAUUUUAUACGUUCUGGCUCGUAUUUUGCCUGUAGUCACAAUUUGUGUUGGUUAUGUAGUGUAGUGUGGUUUUCAUUGAUGACACUGUUCCCCCACUAACUACUGUGAUUAAAUCCAGACCUAUCCUUCUGUUCGAUUGACGUCUAUUCCCAAUCCUCUGGUUCUCGACCCACACUGACGCGAUGGAUAACCCAGAGGGAGCUACUGAUGACUAUAGACCAGAGACCCGCUCGUCUCAUGAACUGAAGCUGACAGAAAAGGGCAGAGAGUACCAAACUGGAAUGAAACUGAAGGUGUUCAAGCAGAUGCUCGUUAAGUUAGAGAAAGAUGGUACAUCCCUGCUAGAUGAACUCGCAACUCAAGACGAAGAUGAGCAAACGAAUGAGAAGAUGGCUAAGAAGGUUGCCAAAUGGAAGCACAGUCAUCUGCUGCUACUGCAAACAAAUGAAGACCUGCGUCCCCUGCUGGGAGCAGAGUACGAGGUGCACAAGUCCACCUAUGAAGGCAGAUUGAUGCAGUUAGACAGCACCCGAGCAACAAUUGAGUCCCUGAUGCUUCCAGAAGAAGUCACAAGUGAGAAGCCCAAGAGAAGACCAGACGACUGCUCGUCUGUGGCUCAGAGUUCCAGAUCAUCUUCAGGCUCUGCCAUGAGAGCUCAGCUCUUCAUGCUGAAAGUCCAAGAAAGCCAGCAUGCAGCAGAGACAAAGGCAAGAGCUGCUGCCCUGGAAGAGAAACAGAAGUUGGAGAUGGAGAUGAAGAUGAUGGAGUCAAAGAUGCAGGAGUUGAAGUGGAAAGAAGAGAUGCAUCAAAUCGAGACUGAAAGAAGGAUUCACGAAGCAAAGGAAGAAGUACUCGAAAUGAUGGAGCAGAAGGUUGAUUCGUUCAUGACGCCAACAAGACAGGAAGAGACAGAGAAGGUGAAGACGCCUGGUAUUGGAAGACAGGGGACAACUGAGGCACAACCAACUGACUGCCACGAAGCAGGUAAAGACGUGACAGAACCUGUUGUGCCUUCCACUGAUACCCCUGUUCCUGUCCACUGCCAGGACCAUGAACCUACUCCCACACCAGAAACUGCUGCUCCGACACAGGUAACAGCCACUACUGUGGCUGAUAUCCUGUCCAUCCAAGCUCAGAGAUCCCAGCUACCUCCCACAGAGCCAGGAGUGUUUAAGGGAGACCACACGACCUUUUGCAUUUGGUUGAACGCCUUCGAGACCUAUAUUGAGUCCAGAUGUUCAUCACCCAGAGAGAGACUUCAUUAUUUAGGCCACUAUACAACAGGGGAAGCGAGAAGUGCAAUCACAGGCUUCCUACAGAUGGGCACUGAUGAGGCUUACCUGCAUGCGAAGAAGCGCCUGAAGGACAGGUAUGGCAACGUGUUCAUCACCAUCAACGAGCUGAAGAAGCGUCUUCAAAGAUGGCCUGAUGUGAAGAUGGGUGACAGCAAGGCAUUCACCGAACUGUCAGACUUCCUGGAACUCUGUAUGGUGAAUUCCAACAGCAUGGAUGGUCUGAAGAUAUUUGGCAGUCCAUCUGAGAUAGAUCCUAUCCUGAAGAAGCUGCCCAGAUACCUCACAGACAGCUGGAGGCGAAUCGUGGACCGGUGGAUUUACGAACCAGGAGAAGGAGCUCAUCCUCAGUAUCCACCGUUCGAACACUUUGUACAGUUUGUCAGCAGAGAGGCCAGAGUCGCCUCCGGUCCAGUGUUGGUGAGGGGCAGUGAAGAGGAGAGGAAACUACAACCAAAACCAAGAAAUGCACGUGUUCUGCUUACAUCUGCGCCGAGCGACAAACAGAGACCACAGGACAGCGGCCGUUGGAUGCAACAACACCACUGUGUGGUGUGUAAGCAGGAUCAUCCCGUGGACAGCUGCCCAGCAUUCUCGAGGAUGUCCCUGAAGGAGAGGCAAGAGCUGGUCCGCCAGAGAGGACUAUGUGGAGGUUGUCUGAGGCGCGGCCACAGGUGGAGGGAGUGUAGGAAGAGACAACACUGUGUAAAGUGUGGCAGGCAACACCCUACCCUGCUUCAUGAUGACACUUUCUCCCACAGGAAUGACAAGGCGACAUCGAAGGGCACUCAGACCAGCGCCGUCUCCCUCCAUGCGACUUCAUGUGACACAGCUGAGCAACCCAGGUGUACCCACACCAUGCUGGUGCCAGUUCGCCUGAAGCACAAGGACUUCCCUGCCAGGGAGAAGACUGUGUAUGCGCUGCUCGACCCCCAGUCUGACACGUGUUUUGUUAAGACGUCUGUGCUGCAGGAAUGGGUCUGAGUGGAGAGGAGGUCACCCUGGAGGUCAGCACGAUCACAGGCAGGACGACGUCGAAGAGUCAAGUUGUGCACGGUCUGGUGGUGAUGAACUACACGGGCGAGACCGAAGUCGAGCUACCAUCUACGUACACAAAGACGGACAUCCCUGCAGAGCGACAGCUCAUCCCGCGGCGCGACACGACGGCUGAGUGGCCUCACCUGCAAGAAGUUGCCCAACAUCUACCAGAGUACCUCCCAGACGCCGAAAUUGGCAUCCUGAUCGGCAUCAGCUGUCCAAGAGCAUUGAAGCCACUUCAGGUUGUUACCGGCGGUGACGACGACCCCUGGGCGAUACGCACAGGCCUUGGAUGGAGCGUCGUUGGAUGCAUGGGGCAAGCAACCAGCGAUGCAUCAUGCCUCUACGGACGUGAAGGAGUCAGCCACUUCGCGUUUCGAGUGAGGGCUCGCGAGGUGCCCCCCGAGCAGCUGGCACGACUGUUCGAUUCUGAUUUUACUCCACAGACCGACAGCAAGGGCUCCGGGAUGGCGAAAGUGUCCCAGGACGACCUUCACUUCAUGAAAAUCAUGCGAGAUGGCGUGCACCAACGUCCAGAUGGUCGCUUCGAGGCACCUCUCCCUCUAAGGGACCGGAAGAUGACACUGCCAGACAACGUCCAUCAGGCUCAGACUCGCCUUCAGUCGCUGAAGAGGAAGCUGCAGAAGGACAGCAGCUACAAGGAAGCGUACACCACUGCAAUUGAAGAUAUGCUGACCAAGGGUUAUGCUGAGCCCGUUCCACAAGACGAGCUGGAGACGAGCAACGGGCACGUAUGGUAUGUGCCCCACCAUGGUGUCGCCCAGCCGAAGAAAGGAAAACUUCGAGUGGUCUUCGACUGCAGUGUGGAGUUUCGCGGACGCUGCCUCAACCAUGAGCUCCUGCAGGGUCCAGAUAUGUCGAACAACCUCGUCGGCAUUCUGACCAGAUUCCGAAAGGACGCAGUUGCACUAACGUGCGACAUCGAAUCCAUGUUCAACCGGGUCUCGGUUGCUCCGAGCGACAGGAACCUCCUCAGGUUCCUCUGGUGGCCAGGAGGUGAUAUCGAGAAGGAACCAACCUUCUACAGAAUGACGACGCACCUCUUCGGAGCUGUCUCCUCGCCAGCGUGCGCGAUGCAUGCUCUGAAUCGGACUGCGGAGCUAUACGAGCCCAAACAUGGAAAGGAGGCAGCGAACUUCAUCAGGAACGAUUUCUAUGUCGAUGACGGACUCAUCUCGACGCCAGAUGCCAGCUCGGCAACCGCCCUCAUCGACAACACGACAAAGCUCUGUGCUGAAGGUGGGUUCAGGCUCACGAAGUUUGCGUGUAACGACUUCACUAUCAUGGAAACUAUCCCCAUCUAUUCGAGGGCCAAGUCUCUGAUUGGCCUGACCUUCCAGGAGAAUCCACAGGUCUGCGAACAAGCACUAGGCGUCAGAUGGGACUUGAGUUCUGACACCAUCCAGUUCGGAGUGGAUCUUCCUGAACGGCCUGCUACCAGACGAGGAAUCCUAUCGGGAGUAAGUUCCUUGUAUGACCCACUGGGACUGAUCUCACCGGUGAUUCUACGGGGGAAGAAGAUCGUCAAGGAGUUGUGCGGCCGGGACUGCACCUGGGACGAUCCAGUCCCAGACGAGCUGAAGCUACAGUGGCUGAGAUGGAAGGCGACGCUGCCUGCUCUCUCAAGCUUGAAAAUCCCCAGGCAGUACGGCUCGACGCUAACGUCUGACGAGCCGCCUGCAACCUUUCAGCUGCACCACUUCUCCGACGCGUCUACGAGCGGAUACGGCGCUUGCAGUUACCUGCGCAUCAUCACAGACGGCGGAGAGGUAUCUGCAGACCUGGUGAUGUCGAAGGCCAAGGUGACGCCGAAGAAGGCUGUGACAGUUCCGCGCUUGGAGCUAGCAGCAGCUGUACUAGCCACCCAGAUCGGCGAGUUUCUUCAGGACAGCCUGAACAUCUCACAGAUCCAGCAUUACUACUGGUGCGACAGUCGCGUGGUGCUGGGCUAUAUCAGGAACAGUUCAAGACGAUUCCACGUGUACGUGGCCAACCGCGUACAAACGAUCCGCAGUCGUACCUCACCGACUCAGUGGCACUACAUCCCGUCAGAUCAGAACCCCAGUGAUCUGGCCUCACGCGGAUGUCUCGUUGAGGAGCUGAUCGAUAGUGACCUGUGGUGGCAUGGACCUCCAUUCUUAUCCUGCCCAGAAGAGCCACCUCUCGAAGAUGACGAAGACAUCGUUGACCAGCAAGACCCUGAGGUGAAAAAGGCGGCGACGAUGAUGACGAACAGCCAACCUGUCGCAGAGCACGCGACUCUCCUGGAGCGACUUGGACGCUUCUCUACCUGGUUCGCCGCCAAGACAGCCGUAGCAAACUGCCUCAGAUAUGAGAAGAAACUGCAGGAGGCGUGCAGAAGAAAGCGAGGCAAAGAACACAGAGAAGAUUCAGACAGACACCUGAGCGUACAAGACCUGAAGGAAGCUGAAGCAGUCAUCAUCAAGGCGCUUCAGAAGCAAGUGUUUGAUGACGAACUGCGCCGUCGAGACGGAGAAGACACACUGAAGCCUCUGAUGAAGAGUGCUCUGACCAAGUUGAAUCCAGUGAUGAGAGAGGGAGUGAUCUGCGUAGGAGGACGGAUCAGACGAGCAAGUCUGCCGAGAGAGGUAACGAACCCAGUCAUCCUCCCGAAGACCAGCCACGUCAGCACCCUGAUCAUUCGCCAGUGUCACCAGAGAACAGGGCAUUCAGGAAGAGAGACGACACUGGGCGAACUUCGACAACAGGGAUACUGGAUCCUGCACGGUCGGUCCGCUGUCUCCAGCUAUAUCAUCAACUGUGUGCCGUGCAGGAAGCUGCGUGGUCCCCACGGGGGGCAGAAGAUGGCUGAAUUGCCAGCUGAGCGGCUGGAACCGUCUGCUCCCUUCACCUUCUGCGGGGUCGACUGCUUUGGCCCAUUCUACGUGAGGGAGCGACGGAGCCAGGUUAAGAGGUGGGGUAUCAUCUUCACGUGCCUUGCCUCUAGAGCCGUGCACCUGGAAACGCUGAACUCCAUGUCCACCGAUGCGUUUCUGAACGCGUACCGAAGAUUCGUCUGCAGAAGAGGUCCAGUGAGGGCUGUGUACUGCGAUCGCGGGACGAACUUCGUCGGAGGUCAGGGAGCACUGAAAGCAGCCCUCGCAGAAAUGGAUCAGGAAAAGAUCAGGACAAGUCUACUGAAAGAUCAGUGCGACUUCGUGGACUUCAAGUUCAACCCACCUCACUCCAGCCACAUGGGUGGGGCUUGGGAAAGGCUGAUUCGCUGUGUACGAUCAGUCCUGACAAGUCUGCUGGUCGCCAACGGAGAACAGAUGGAUGACGAGCUGUUACGAACGCUGAUGUGUGAGGUCGAGAACAUCCUGAACAGCCGUCCUAUCUCACUAGCUGACAUGUCCUCUACUAACCAGCUCGAGGCUUUGACCCCGAGUUCCCUCCUAACACAGAAAUAUAGAGUAGUGUUACCCUUUCCUGGUAGAUUCGCUGCUCCGGACGUCUACGCUCGUCAGCGGUGGAGACGAGUGCAGCACCUCUCCAACGUCUUCUGGAGCCGGUGGCGACGAGAGGUUAUACUGGCUUCACAAGAGAGGCGGAAAUGGCAAAAGACGACGCCCAACUUCGAGACUGACGACGUCGUCUUGAUCAUGGACGAUGACCACCCCCGUACCCAGUGGGUGCUGGCACGGGUCGUCGCUACACGCCCAGGCAGCGACGGCCUAGUCAGGAAGGUCAGCGUACGGACCAGCAAGGGGACGGAGCUCGAGAGACCGGUCCACCGCCUCGUCACGGUUCUUCGGAGGCGUGAGACCGGGUGAACCCGUCCGUCGGUCUGAGAUAGCGGGGAUGGAGGACGCCGCUGAGUUCAUGCCGGCCAUUGUGUUGGAUGCGGGCCUGAUCACCUCGUGGUGGGACAUCGUGUCCGCCCGGGGUAUGGACGCAGCGCUGGACGAGAUCCAGAUGGACGCGUGUGUGCUGGACGCCGAGGCCGGGUGCCACGGCGUGGCGUCAACAUGACGGACAGAGUGCGUUUGUACUUGUGCCGUGAUCGCGCGACAAAGGCUAGCGCUGCCCGAGUCACCGUGUAGUGACUUGUCACGCGGUGCUGCCAGCGAUUCCCCGUCGAGGAGACAUGUCGAUGGGUAGAAGCGAGAAGUGCAAAUUUUGUUUGCAAAAUUUGGGGGAGCCAUGUUCCCGCGCGUACAAUUUGGUUGCGUUUUCCCAUUGCGUUUAAGGCGAAACAUGACGCGCGCCGCGGCGAGCGUGGCGCUUCUGGAGGCUCCAGCGCGGCCCCUCCGACGCCAUAUUGACGGGUCGGUGAAACCCCCGAACGAAUUUUCACGUACCGUACCGUUUUGUACCACGUGAUGCCAGCGGUUAUGAGAGCAGCGAUGUAUUAUCCUAUGUACUAUACCGGCAAUAGAAAACUAGAUUGAA
Molecule: unclassified non-coding RNA, 7388 nt
Filed under: Amphibalanus amphitrite
Lineage: Eukaryota; Metazoa; Arthropoda; Thecostraca; Balanomorpha; Balanidae
Description: uncharacterized LOC122392300, transcript variant X1
Source: RNAcentral